RNAcentral lists this ribosomal RNA (402 nucleotides) under uncultured bacterium. RNAcentral's name for it is "bacterial SSU rRNA". It matches the Rfam family "Bacterial small subunit ribosomal RNA", at positions 355 to 774 of the family's 1533-position model. The record is from RNAcentral.
UGGGGAAUAUUGGACAAUGGGGGCAACCCUGAUCCAGCAAUGCCGCGUGAGUGAUGAAGGCCUUAGGGUUGUAAAGCUCUUUUGGCGGGGACGAUAAUGACGGUACCCGCAGAAUAAGUCCCGGCUAACUUCGUGCCAGCAGCCGCGGUAAUACGAAGGGGACUAGCGUUGUUCGGAAUCACUGGGCGUAAAGCGCACGUAGGCGGAUAUGUCAGUCAGGGGUGAAAUCCCGGGGCUCAACCUCGGAACUGCCCUUGAUACAGCAUGUCUUGAGUCCGAUAGAGGUGGGUGGAAUUCCUAGUGUAGAGGUGAAAUUCGUAGAUAUUAGGAAGAACACCGGUGGCGAAGGCGGCCCACUGGAUCGGUACUGACGCUGAGGUGCGAAAGCGUGGGGAGCAAACA